This is a long non-coding RNA of Phyllostomus discolor (pale spear-nosed bat), 604 nucleotides long. RefSeq lists it as uncharacterized. The transcript is spliced from 3 exons. The record is from RefSeq and is a predicted model, not a curated record. Lineage: Eukaryota; Metazoa; Chordata; Mammalia; Chiroptera; Phyllostomidae.
CAGGCCUCCAACUCUGGAAGAAGUAAAACUGUCAUUGUUUGCAGGCAACAUGAUAGUGGACAUAGAAAGCCCAAUAAUCUCCACCAAAAACUACUCGACCUGAUAAGUAAGUGGGGCAAAGUAGGGGGAUUCAAAGUCAACAUUCAGAAGUCAAUAACAUUUUUGUACACCAACAAUGAACUAUCAGAAACAGAAAUUGGGGGGAGGGGAAUCCCAUUUACUAUAGAAAUAAAAAAAAAUAAAGUACCUAGGAAUAAAUUUAACCAAGGAAGUAAAAGACCUAUACUUGGAAAACAAUAGAACUGAACAAAUAAGUUGAGGAAGACACAUAUAAGUGGAAGCAUACGCCAUGUUCAUGGUUUUGACGAAAUAACAUCAUUAAAAUGUUCAUACUACCCAUAGCAAUUUAUAUGUUCAAUGCAAUCCUUAUUAAAACACCAAGGCAUAUUUCACUGAUCUAGAACAAAUGCUCAAGAAAAUUUGCAUGGGACCAAAAAAGACCCUAAAUAACCUCAGCAAUCUUGAGAAAGAAGAAAAAAGUUAGAGGGGUCACAAUAUCUGAUAUCAAACUAUAUCACAAAUCCACUGUAAGCAAAACAGCCUG